GAUGAACGCUAGCGGCAGGCCUAAUACAUGCAAGUCGAACGGUGUCUUCGGACAUAGUGGCGCACGGGUGCGUAACACGUAUGCAACCUACCUUACAUUGGGGGAUAGCCUUUCGAAAGGGAGAUUAAUACCGCAUAAGACAGUAACUAGGCAUCUAGUAGCUGUUAAAGAUUUAUCGAUGUAAGCUGGGCAUGCGUCCAAUUAGCUAGUUGGUGAGGUAACGGCUCACCAAGGCAAUGAUUGGUAGGGGAACUGAGAGGUCAAUCCCCCACACUGGCACUGAGAUACGGGCCAGACUCCUACGGGAGGCAGCAGUAGGGAAUAUUGGGCAAUGGACGCAAGUCUGACCCAGCCAUGCCGCGUGCAGGAUGAAGGCGUUAUGCGUUGUAAACUGCUUUUAUACAGGAAGAAACGACUCUUGCGAGAGGCAUUGACGGUACUGUAUGAAUAAGCACCGGCUAACUCCGUGCCAGCCGCCGCCGUAA
RNAcentral lists this ribosomal RNA (485 nucleotides) under uncultured bacterium. RNAcentral describes it as "partial 16S ribosomal RNA". It matches the Rfam family "Bacterial small subunit ribosomal RNA", at positions 28 to 523 of the family's 1533-position model. The record is from RNAcentral.